This 86-nucleotide microRNA precursor is filed under the name Dasypus novemcinctus (nine-banded armadillo). RNAcentral's name for it is "miRNA (ENSDNOG00000035323.1)". Lineage: Eukaryota; Metazoa; Chordata; Mammalia; Cingulata; Dasypodidae. The record is from RNAcentral.
GACAUUUAAGCGGGACUGUAGAUCAGGUUUGCCCACUUACUUGAGAAAGACGUUCCAGUGAGGAACCCUGAUCUCUCAGCCUCGAU